AUGGAGAGAGAAGAAGAGGAGGUGGCCGAAAGAGAAGCUCAACCUAUACAAAGCUCUUCUGGACAGAAAGCAACAGAGGGUGAUGGUGAUCACCAAAAUGCUGGAGAGAUCAACACAGGACUGAAAAAUGCCGGACGAUGUUUAACCGAGUACAAUAGGUACUCUUGGGAGCAUAUCCAAGCGGCGACUUCAUCGUUUUCAAGUGAUCUUGUGAUUGGUAAGGGGACAUAUGGAACAGUCUACAAGGCUAAGUUUCAGCAUACAGUUGCAGCAGUGAAACUGGAGGUUCUGGGCAAGAUCCGGCACCCUCACCUGCUGCUGCUGCUGGGCGCCUGCCCGGAGCGCGGCUGCGUGGUGUACGAGUACAUGGAGAACGGCAGCCUGGACGAUGCUCUCCACCACCGCCGGAAUGGCAUGCCGCCGCUCGCCUGGUACGACCGCGUCCGGGUCGCCUGGGAGGUGGCCACCGCCGUCGCCUUCCUCCACAGCGCCAGGCCGGACCCCAUCAUCCACCGCGACCUCAAGCCGGCCAACAUCCUGCUCGACCGGAACCUCUCCAGCAAGGUCGGCGACGUCGGCCUCUCGACGGCGCUCCUCCACCACUCGGGAGCCGGAGGAGGAGGAGGCCAGCAGCAGUCCACGAUGGUGAGGAACACGACGCCCGUGGGCACAUUCUGCUACAUCGACCCGGAGUACCAGCGGACGGGCGCCGUGUCGGCCAAGUCAGACGUGUACGCGCUCGGCGUGGUAGUGCUGCAGCUGCUCACGGGGAGGACGUCGCCGCUCGGGCUCGCCCACGCCGUGGAGACCGCGCUGGAGGAAGACGGCGAGAUGCGGCGCAGGGACCGGCCCGGGCUGCGCGAGCACAUCCUCCCGGCGCUGGAGCGGAUCAAGGACGUCGCUGCCAGAGCCGCCAGGGAGACGAAGGCCCUUCUCCUCCGGACAGCAUCAUCGUCAGCAGCGCCGGGCCACUUCCUCUGCCCCAUUCUUCAGGAAAUCAUGGAGGACCCAUGCGUCGCCGCCGAUGGGUACACCUACGACCGGAAGGCGAUCGAGACAUGGGUGAGCAUGAAGGACAAGUCGCCGAUGACCAACCUCCGGCUGCCGAGCAAGAGCCUCAUCCCCAACCACUCGCUCCGGUCGGCCAUCAUGGACUGGAGCUCCAAGAACAGAUGA
RNAcentral lists this ribosomal RNA (1176 nucleotides) under Triticum aestivum (bread wheat). RNAcentral's name for it is "partial small subunit ribosomal RNA". The record is from RNAcentral. Lineage: Eukaryota; Viridiplantae; Streptophyta; Magnoliopsida; Poales; Poaceae.